This 403-nucleotide ribosomal RNA is filed under the name uncultured bacterium. Its description in RNAcentral is "partial 16S ribosomal RNA". It matches the Rfam family "Bacterial small subunit ribosomal RNA", at positions 28 to 526 of the family's 1533-position model. The record is from RNAcentral.
GACGAACGCUGGCGGCGUGCCUAAUACAUGCAAGUCGAACGCAGUGGGGACGGGUGAGUAACACGUGGGUAACCUCCCAUCAGAGGGGAUAACACUUGGCAACAGGUGCUAAACCGAUACUGAUGGAUGGACCCGCGGUGCAUUAGCUAGUUGGUGAGGUAACGGCGCACCAAGGCCACGAUGCAUAGCCGACCGGAGAGAGUGAUCAGACACACGGGGAAUGAGACACGGCCCAGACUCAGACGGGAGGCAGCGGUAGGGAAGAUUCGGCAAUGGACGAAAGUCUGACCGAGCAAUGCCGCGUGGGUGAAGAAGGUUUUCGGAUCGUAAAACUCUGUUGUUAGAGAAGCGGUAUCUAACCAGAAAGCCACGGCUAACUACGUGCCAGCCGCCGCGGUAAUAC